UCAGGUACGCCCCUUGAACCGAGAUGUGCCCAUAGUCUCCGAAGUAGAAGCUGUAGAUGGCCUCGUACCUGUCGCCGUUCCUCUCUGGGACGUGUUGGAUCAGCACGCAGAUCCCCGCCGUGAUCCCCAACCGCUUCUCCAGGCAAAUGGAUUAAUCGACGAGAUCCGGAAUCAAGACUGGAGCUCGAUCUUGCCUUGUUACUGAAGGGGACGAGAUCGCCGAGGCAGUUGACUUCCUUCUGGCUCAGGCGGAGGUAGGCGGGGCUCCCGCGAUCGCGCUCGUUGAACUCGUACACGCAGAGCUCCUGCACCCUGGCUGCGGAGGUCUUUCCCAGUCAACGACCGGCCGUCGAUCUUAGAAGCAACAGGGAUCGGAAAAGGGGAGAGAAAACGGAGCUUACUUUGCUUGGAAUCAGAGGGUGGCUUCUUCGCCGAGAAGAAGCAGAUGGGGCUGAUGCUUCUGCUUCCGAUUAGAAGGUCGGUUCGGCUAUUUCUGCAGCUCGAAACCUGAAAUUUGGGGGAUUUGAUUCCGGGGAUGAAGGAGUUUGCGGUGAGGUAGAUCGACGAGGAUUUACUAUGUUGCUGGGUUUCUGGAGAUGCAGGGAGAUGGAAGUAAGGGGAUGCGAAAGGGGAGGAGGAGUAGGAAGCCGCCAUGGCAAGGAAUGAGGCAGCAGCGGUAGGUGGAAGUGGAACAAUUGGCAGUAGAGUUGCAGUGGGUUGUAGCACUGGUCAUACGAGCGUAAUUAAUAUUAUUGCAAUAUGCAAUAUGCAAUAUGCAAUAUGCAAUA
Molecule: long non-coding RNA, 788 nt
Organism: Zingiber officinale
Lineage: Eukaryota; Viridiplantae; Streptophyta; Magnoliopsida; Zingiberales; Zingiberaceae
Exons: 2
Source: RefSeq, a predicted model, not a curated record